GUUUAGUAUUGCUACAGACACUGAUCUUAGGUCAGGCACUGCUGGGAGCUUCAUUCGGGCUGACAGCGGCAUUUAUGAGAGCAAAUGUCUGUCCCUGCGCAAUUUCUGUGGGGAUAGUUGCAGUCAGGUCUACAGGAUUUGCUUAAAAAUUUCCAAGACCUGGGUGUGUCUGACAGCCUGGACCUCAACCUCAAAAAGGAACUAGCUCCUCUCUGAUUUCCUUGGGACACCUGGGAGCAAGCACAGGAGCCCAUGGAGCCACGGAGAGUGUCACUUCAAGCGCCUCCUGGGAGCUCUUGCAGAUGCCAAGUGCUCUGCCCUUCCCCAUUACCUGUGAUUUCAAGUGGGCUUAGAGAUUCUCCAAGAUGUGAGAUGAAAGGCCAAGAAACUAAUUCCUCUGACUUCUUCAGAGAACCGCACAGUCUCUUGAGCAGGAGUUAACCAGAAGAGUGACGGUUGUGCAUGGACGGCCCUGGUUCACAGUCCAGCUCUGCCAUCCCUAGCAUGAUACCUGGAUGAAGCCCUGUGGAUUCUACCUCUGGAUCAUCUCAUCCAAAAUGCCACCCGUCAGUUUCCACUGGUCCUCCUUGGUUCAAGGCGUCCUCAUCUUCACCCUCCACUGAAGCAACAACUCCUCACGGAUCUUCCUGCUUCCAAUCUUGCCUUUCUCUUUUCUCUCUUACCCAAACCCAUAGGCAUGUCCUCUUCAGAUCAUGAAUAAUAUUCCUAAAACACAAACAGGAUCAGAUUCCCCCCUUGUAAAAUUCCUUCAGUGGAUGUCUUCUAACUUCAAGGGAAAGGCUAGGACCCUUGGAUCUUCCAAAUCCAGACCAGGCUGACUGCUCUAGCCUUCUUCCAACAUCCACGACACCCAUUUUGCACCCAAUGCUCUAGGCACUGGGAGCUACUCACAGUUCCCCUGACCUGACAAACUGUUCAGACAUCCACACAUUUCCUAGUGCUGUCUGCACCUGCAUAAAUUGCCCUCUGCUUUCCUCAUGUCCCCUCUACUGUUAAAACCUGCUCAUCUCUUAUUACUCAGCUCCACUGUUCUCUUCUCGCUCUACAGAAAAGGUUCCAGGCUCCAGUUAUGACUCUCCUCUAUGUCCCAAUCAGAACACAUUCGGUUCCCAUUAGAGUCUCUAGGACAAUCUAAUCUUGCAUUACCUUUUCCUCUAUAGGACCACAGCUUGUUGAAGAAAAUGAACAGUCUCCCUGGUACCAUUUGUUUUUGUAUCCCCAGCAUCUAUGGCAUUGAGUACAUAGAAUCCUUGGGAUGACCAGCAAUUGAGCUGUGGGCAGAACAAGAACAAUCAGCAAAGGAGACUGAGAAGCACCAGCCAGAGAAGCAGGAGGAGAACCGGUAGAGAGACAGCUACUGCAGCCACCAAAGGGAGAAAUGUUCUGCUGGGAGGAAAAUGAGAGCCUGUGGAAGUGAGCCAAAGAAUCUUCUGCCUGGGGAACAUUCACUGAUGCUUCAAGUGCUGGAAGAUCUGUGACUCCCAAAU
This 1508-nucleotide long non-coding RNA is filed under the name Homo sapiens (human). RNAcentral's name for it is "HSALNT0162357". The record is from RNAcentral. Lineage: Eukaryota; Metazoa; Chordata; Mammalia; Primates; Hominidae.